GACGUAGGGCGCGAGCGUUGUCCGGAUUUAUUGGGCGUAAAGAGCUCGUAGGCGGUCUGUCGCGUCGGAUGUGAAAACCCAGGGCUCAACCCUGGGCCUGCAUUCGAUACGGGCAGACUAGAGUUCGGUAGGGGGAGACUGGAAUUCCUGGUGUAGCGGUGAAAUGCGCAGAUAUCAGGAGGAACACCGAUGGCGAAGGCAGGUCUCUGGGCAUUAACUGACGCUGAGGAGCGAAAGCAUGGGGAGCGAACAGG
This 254-nucleotide ribosomal RNA is filed under the name uncultured bacterium. RNAcentral's name for it is "partial 16S ribosomal RNA". It matches the Rfam family "Bacterial small subunit ribosomal RNA", at positions 524 to 776 of the family's 1533-position model. The record is from RNAcentral.